This 774-nucleotide ribosomal RNA is filed under the name uncultured Neocallimastigales. RNAcentral describes it as "partial large subunit ribosomal RNA". It matches the Rfam family "Eukaryotic large subunit ribosomal RNA", at positions 24 to 614 of the family's 3401-position model. The record is from RNAcentral. Lineage: Eukaryota; Fungi; Neocallimastigomycota; Neocallimastigomycetes; Neocallimastigales.
UACGACUACAUAUCAGGCAUAUCAAUAAGCGGAGGAAAAGAAACUAACUAGGAUUCCCUUAGUAACGGCGAGUGAAGCGGGAAGAGCUCAAAUUUGAAAUCUUCAAGGUUCUACCUUGACGAAUUGUAGUUUAAAGAAGUGUUUUCUGUUGGAGUUUUGGUAAAAGUUCUUUGGAAUAGGACAUCAUAGAGGGUGAGAAUCCCGUAUUUGACCAUUAUCUUCCAGCUGUGUGAUACACUUUCAAAGAGUCGGAUUGUUUGGGAAUGCAGUCCAAAAUGGGUGGUAAAUUUCAUCUAAAGCUAAAUAUUGGCGAGAGACCGAUAGCGAACAAGUACCGUGAGGGAAAGAUGAAAAGAACUUUGAAAAGAGAGUUAAACAGUACGUGAAAUUGUCAAAAGGGAAGCGUUUGACACCAGUGUUGUUUUCUCGAAAAUCAAUUAAAAAUGACCGGAUUUUGUGUUGUAUUGACUUUAUCAGCUUUCUGCACUUUUUUCUUGUCUUUUUUAAUGCACUUUUCGUUUAACAAGUCAACAUCAAUUUCUUUUGUUGUAAAAGAGUCAUUGGAAGGUGGCUUUCACUUCGGUGAAAGUGUUUAUAGCCUUUGACUUCUGCAAUCGGAGAGAUUGAGGUCUGCAGCGUAGAUCCUUCGGGGUUAGAUACAUUUGUGCUAAGUUAUAGUUUUCAUAGACAACAUGUUGACUAUGAUUAGUCAUGUAGCUUACUCGCUUAUGCUAUUUUACCUACGCUUAGGAUGUUGAACGCGCACAGAGUCUC